This 236-nucleotide ribosomal RNA is filed under the name uncultured Staphylococcus sp. Its description in RNAcentral is "partial 16S ribosomal RNA". It matches the Rfam family "Bacterial small subunit ribosomal RNA", at positions 104 to 334 of the family's 1533-position model. Lineage: Bacteria; Bacillati; Bacillota; Bacilli; Caryophanales; Staphylococcaceae. The record is from RNAcentral.
GGGUGAGUAACACGUGGAUAACCUACCUAUAAGACUGGGAUAACUUCGGGAAACCGGAGCUAAUACCGGAUAAUAUUUUGAACCGCAUGGUUCAAAAGUGAAAGACGGUCUUGCUGUCACUUAUAGAUGGAUCUGCGCUGCAUUAGCUAGUUGGUAAGGUAACGGCUUACCAAGGCAACGAUGCAUAGCCGACCUGAGAGGGUGAUCGGCCACACUGGAACUGAGACACGGUCCAG